This 480-nucleotide ribosomal RNA is filed under the name uncultured bacterium. Its description in RNAcentral is "partial 16S ribosomal RNA". It matches the Rfam family "Bacterial small subunit ribosomal RNA", at positions 28 to 506 of the family's 1533-position model. The record is from RNAcentral.
GAUGAACGCUGGCGGCGUGCUUAACACAUGCAAGUCGAACGAAGAACUUUAUUUGAUUUCCUUCGGGCCUGUUUCUUUUGUGACUGUGUGGCGGACGGGUGAGUCACGCGAGGGUAACCUGCCUUGUACAGGGGGAUAACAGUUGGAAACAGCUGCUACUACCGCAUAAGCGCACAGCAUCGCAUGAUGCAGUGUGAAAAGCGCCGGCGGCAUAAGAUGGACCCGCGUUGGAAUAGGUAGUUGGGGAGGUAACGGCCCACCAAGGCGACGAGCCAUAGCCGACCGGAGAGGGGGACCGGCCGCAUUGGGACUGAGACACGGCCCAAACGCGUACGGGAGGCAGCAGUGGGGAAUAUAGCACAAUGGGCGAAAGCCUGAUGCAGCGACGCCGCGUGAGCGAAGAAGUAGUUCGGUAUGUAAAGCGCUAUCAGCAGAGAAGAUAAGGACGGUACCUGAAUAAGAAGCACCGGCUAAAUACGU